Molecule: long non-coding RNA, 207 nt
Filed under: Jatropha curcas
Lineage: Eukaryota; Viridiplantae; Streptophyta; Magnoliopsida; Malpighiales; Euphorbiaceae
Description: long non-coding RNA (JCUR_LNC002692)
Source: RNAcentral
UAAAAAUUUCACAGAAAUUUAUAAGAAAUUUUUAUUUUUAUUUAUUUAUUUAUUUAUUAUUAUUAUUAUUAUUAUUUUGUGAUAGGGACGGGGUCACUCCCGGCCCCGCCACCCCCUACCUCCACCACUGCGUGUGGGAAAGUCACACAUUGAAAAAAGAUGGAGUAAGUUCGGUUGCAUAUGGAAAAGUACUAGAUUAAAACAUUU